Molecule: ribosomal RNA, 393 nt
Filed under: uncultured bacterium
Lineage: Bacteria
Description: partial 16S ribosomal RNA
Rfam family: Bacterial small subunit ribosomal RNA
Source: RNAcentral
AUACGGAGGAUGCAAGCGUUAUCCGGAUUUAUUGGGUUUAAAGGGUGCGUAGGCUGUUCGGAAAGUCAGGGGUGAAAGCCCGGCGCCUAACGCCGGAACUGCCUUUGAUACUUCCGAGCUGGAAUACGGAUGCCGUGGGAGGAAUGAGUAGUGUAGCGGUGAAAUGCAUAGAUAUUACUCAGAGCACCGAUUGCGAAGGCAUCUCACGAAUCCGUCAUUGACGCUGAGGCACGAAAGCGUGGGGAUCAAACAGGAUUAGAGACCCUGGUAGUCCACGCAGUAAACGAUGAUGACUAACCGUCGGCGAUACACAGUCGGUGGCCAAGCGAAAGCGAUAAGUCAUCCACCUGGGGAGUACGUUCGCAAGAAUGAAACUCAAAUGAAUUGACGGGG